Molecule: ribosomal RNA, 120 nt
Organism: Myotis lucifugus (little brown bat)
Lineage: Eukaryota; Metazoa; Chordata; Mammalia; Chiroptera; Vespertilionidae
Source: Ensembl
UCCUAUGGUCAUACCACUCUGAACACUCCCGAUCUUGUCUGAUCUGGGAAGCUUAAGCAGGGUGAGGCCUGGCUAGGACUUAGAUGGGAGAUAGCCAAGAAAGUCUGGGUGCUGUAGUCU